RNAcentral lists this transfer RNA (73 nucleotides) under Candidatus Berkelbacteria bacterium. RNAcentral describes it as "tRNA-Ile". It matches the Rfam family "tRNA". Rfam says of the family: Transfer RNA (tRNA) molecules are approximately 80 nucleotides in length. Their secondary structure includes four short double-helical elements and three loops (D, anti-codon, and T loops). Further hydrogen bonds mediate the characteristic L-shaped molecular structure. tRNAs have two regions of fundamental functional importance: the anti-codon, which is responsible for specific mRNA codon recognition, and the 3' end, to which the tRNAs corresponding amino acid is attached (by aminoacyl-tRNA synthetases). tRNAs cope with the degeneracy of the genetic code in two manners: having more than one tRNA (with a specific anti-codon) for a particular amino acid; and 'wobble' base-pairing, i.e. permitting non-standard base-pairing at the 3rd anti-codon position. The record is from RNAcentral. Lineage: Bacteria; Candidatus Berkelbacteria.
GGGCUCGUAGCUCAGUGGUAGUAGCAGGCAGCUUAUAUCUGUCAGGUCGGAGGUCCGAUCCCUCCCGAGCCCA